UUGGAGGGCAAGUCUGGUGCCAGCAGCCGCGGUAAUUCCAGCUCCAAUAGCGUAUAUUAAAGUUGUUGCAGUUAAAAAGCUCGUAGUUGAAUUUCGGAGUUUGUCGGUUGGUCGGGCUUCACUGUCCGCACUGGCCUGAUGGAUUCCUACCUUCUGAAUAACCAGCAUGCUAUUAAGUUAGUGCGUUGGGGAAGCAGAGCUAUUACCUUGAAAAAUUAGAGUGCUUAAAGCAGGCUUAUGCUUGAAUAGAUUAGCAUGGAAUAAUAAAAUAGGACGGCAUGGUUCUAUUUUGUUGGUUUCUAGGAUCACCGUAAUGAUUAAUAGGGAUAGUUGGGGGCAUUAGUAUUCAAUUGUCAGAGGUGAAAUUCUUGGAUUUAUUGAAGACUAAACUUCUGCGAAAGCAUUUGCCAAGGAUGUUUUCAUUAAUCAAGAACGAAAGUUAGGGGAUCGAAGACGAUCAGAUACCGUCGUAGUCUUAACCAUAAACUAUGCCGACUAGGGGAUCGGGAUGAUGUUAAUUUUUAAUGACU
RNAcentral lists this ribosomal RNA (530 nucleotides) under uncultured Glomeromycotina. Its description in RNAcentral is "SSU rRNA". It matches the Rfam family "Eukaryotic small subunit ribosomal RNA", at positions 548 to 1079 of the family's 1831-position model. Lineage: Eukaryota; Fungi; Glomeromycota. The record is from RNAcentral.